UACGUAGGGGGCAAGCGUUGUCCGGAAUCAUUGGGCGUAAAGCGCGUGUAGGCGGUUCAGUAAGUCUGCUGUGAAAGUCCAGGGCUCAACCCUGGGAUGCCGGUGGAUACUGCUGGGCUAGAGUACGGAAGAGGCGAGUGGAAUUCCUGGUGUAGCGGUGAAAUGCGCAGAUAUCAGGAGGAACACCAAUGGCGAAGGCAGCUCACUGGGACGGUAUUGACGCUGAGACGCGAAAGCGUGGGGAGCAAACAGG
Molecule: ribosomal RNA, 253 nt
Filed under: uncultured bacterium
Lineage: Bacteria
Description: partial 16S ribosomal RNA
Rfam family: Bacterial small subunit ribosomal RNA
Source: RNAcentral